This 761-nucleotide ribosomal RNA is filed under the name uncultured Actinomycetes bacterium. RNAcentral describes it as "bacterial SSU rRNA". It matches the Rfam family "Bacterial small subunit ribosomal RNA", at positions 80 to 827 of the family's 1533-position model. Lineage: Bacteria; Bacillati; Actinomycetota; Actinomycetes. The record is from RNAcentral.
UCGGUCCCGGGGACAGCGGCGAACGGGUGAGUAACACGUGGAUAACCUGCCCUCGGCACCGGAAUAGCCCGGGGAAACUCGGAUUAAUGCCGGAUAGCCCCACAUCCCUGCGGGGAACGUGGGAAAAGGUAGCUUCGGCCUCUGGCCGGGGAUGGGUCCGCGGUGGAUUAGCUUGUUGGUGCGGGUAAUGGCCCACCAAGGCGACGAUCCAUAGCUGGUCUGAGAGGACGAUCAGCCACACUGGGACUGAGACACGGCCCAGACUCCUACGGGAGGCAGCAGUAGGGAAUCUUGCGCAAUGGGCGAAAGCCUGACGCAGCGACGCCGCGUGCGGGAAGAAGGCCUUCGGGUUGUAAACCGCUUUCAGGAGGGACGAAGCCACUCGGGUUAAUAGCCCAGAGGGUGACGGUACCUCCAGAAGAAGCCCCGGCUAACUACGUGCCAGCAGCCGCGGUAAUACGUAGGGGGCAAGCGUUGUCCGGAUUCAUUGGGCGUAAAGAGCGUGUAGGCGGUCAGGUAGGUCGGUUGUGAAAACUGGAGGCUCAACCUUCAGAGGUCGACCGAAGCCCCCUGGCUAGAGUCCGGGAGAGGAGAGUGGAAUUCCUGGUGUAGCGGUGAAAUGCGCAGAUAUCAGGAAGAACACCCGUGGCGAAAGCGGCUCUCUGGAACGGUACUGACGCUGAGACGCGAAAGCGUGGGGAGCGAACAGGAUUAGAUACCCUGGUAGUCCACGCCGUAAACGAUGGGCGCUAGGUGUGGGA